UACGUAGGGUCCGAGCGUUGUCCGGAAUUACUGGGCGUAAAGAGCUCGUAGGUGGUUUGUCGCGUUGUUCGUGAAAACUCACAGCUUAACUGUGGGCGUGCGGGCGAUACGGGCAGACUAGAGUACUGCAGGGGAGACUGGAAUUCCUGGUGUAGCGGUGAAAUGCGCAGAUAUCAGGAGGAACACCGGUGGCGAAGGCGGGCCUCUGGGCCGAUACUGACGCUGAGGAGCGAAAGCGUGGGGAGCGAACAGG
This 253-nucleotide ribosomal RNA is filed under the name uncultured bacterium. RNAcentral describes it as "partial 16S ribosomal RNA". It matches the Rfam family "Bacterial small subunit ribosomal RNA", at positions 524 to 776 of the family's 1533-position model. The record is from RNAcentral.